UCCGGUUUAACACCGGCAGUCUCCAUAGAGUGCCCAACUAAAUGAUGGCAACUAGGGAUAAGGGUUGCGCUCGUUAAGGGACUUAACCCGACAUCUCACGAUACGAGCUGACGACAGCCAUGCAGCACCUGUCUCUCUGUGUAUUGCUACAACACCCUAUCUCUAGGGCUGUCAGAGGAUGUCAAAUCCAGGUAAGGUUCUUCGCGUUGCAUCGAAUUAAACCACAUGCUCCACCGCUUGUGCGGGCCCCCGUCAAUUCCUUUGAGUUUUAGCCUUGCGGCCGUACUCCCCAGGCGGAGUGCUUAACGCGUUAACUACGGCACCGCAGGGGUCAAUACCCGCAGCACCUAGCACUCAUCGUUUACGGCGUGGACUAC
Molecule: unclassified non-coding RNA, 377 nt
Filed under: uncultured Pseudomonadota bacterium
Lineage: Bacteria; Pseudomonadati; Pseudomonadota
Description: uncultured proteobacterium contains 16S-23S intergenic spacer region
Source: RNAcentral